UACGGAGGAUGCGAGCGUUAUCCGGAUUUAUUGGGUUUAAAGGGUGCGCAGGCGGAAUGUCAAGUCAGCGGUAAAAUUUCGGGGCUCAACCCCGUCGUGCCGUUGAAACUGGGGAUCUAGAGUGUGCGAGAGGUAUGCGGAAUGCGUGGUGUAGCGGUGAAAUGCUUAGAGAUCAUACAGAACACCGAUUGCGAAGGCAGCUUACCAAGCUACUUCUGACGUUGAGGCACGAAAGCGUGGGGAGCAAACAGG
Molecule: ribosomal RNA, 252 nt
Filed under: uncultured Bacteroidales bacterium
Lineage: Bacteria; Pseudomonadati; Bacteroidota; Bacteroidia; Bacteroidales
Description: partial 16S ribosomal RNA
Rfam family: Bacterial small subunit ribosomal RNA
Source: RNAcentral